This 484-nucleotide ribosomal RNA is filed under the name uncultured bacterium. Its description in RNAcentral is "partial 16S ribosomal RNA". It matches the Rfam family "Bacterial small subunit ribosomal RNA", at positions 30 to 507 of the family's 1533-position model. The record is from RNAcentral.
AUUGAACGCUGGCGGCAGGCCUAACACAUGCAAGUCGAGCGGAUGAAGGGAGCUUGCUCCUGCAUCCAGCGGCGGACGGGUGAGUAAUGCCUAGGAAUCUGCCUGGUAGCGGGGGAUAACGUCCGGAAACGGGCGCUAAUACCGCAUACGUCCUGAGGGAGAAAGUGGGGGAUCUUCGGACCUCACGCUAUCAGAUGAGCCUAGGUCGGAUUAGCUAGUUGGUGGGGUAAAGGCCUACCAAGGCGACGAUCCGUAACUGGUCUGAGAGGAUGAUCAGUCACACUGGAACUGAGACACGGUCCAGACUCCUACGGGAGGCAGCAGUGGGGAAUAUUGGACAAUGGGCGAAAGCCUGAUCCAGCCAUGCCGCGUGUGUGAAGAAGGUCUUCGGAUUGUAAAGCACUUUAAGUUGGGAGGAAGGGCAGUAAGUUAAUACCUUGCUGUUUUGACGUUACCAACAGAAUAAGCACCGGCUAACUUCGUG